UAACGCUGUAGUCGUUGCAAUACGCACCAAUCUUUCGCCUUUUACUAAAGAUUGCCGUGCGACGUCUUCAUAUAAUGCUAAUUAACCAAUUUUUUUUGGCGUUUAGGCGCCUA
Molecule: small nuclear RNA, 113 nt
Filed under: Theileria orientalis strain Shintoku
Lineage: Eukaryota; Apicomplexa; Aconoidasida; Piroplasmida; Theileriidae
Description: U5 spliceosomal RNA
Rfam family: U5 spliceosomal RNA
About the family: U5 RNA is a component of both types of known spliceosome. The precise function of this molecule is unknown, though it is known that the 5' loop is required for splice site selection and p220 binding, and that both the 3' stem-loop and the Sm site are important for Sm protein binding and cap methylation.
Source: Rfam by way of RNAcentral